RNAcentral lists this microRNA precursor (82 nucleotides) under Chlorocebus sabaeus (green monkey). RNAcentral describes it as "miRNA (ENSCSAG00000024106.1)". Lineage: Eukaryota; Metazoa; Chordata; Mammalia; Primates; Cercopithecidae. The record is from RNAcentral.
CUGCUGUGGGGAUGCCAGCUGCAGUGGGGGAGGCACAGUGAGGGCUGCACCCUCCAUGGAACCGGUGGGGGCUGGGAACAGG